RNAcentral lists this ribosomal RNA (988 nucleotides) under Virgibacillus halodenitrificans. RNAcentral's name for it is "bacterial SSU rRNA". It matches the Rfam family "Bacterial small subunit ribosomal RNA", at positions 76 to 1042 of the family's 1533-position model. Lineage: Bacteria; Bacillati; Bacillota; Bacilli; Caryophanales; Bacillaceae. The record is from RNAcentral.
UCGGAGGUGACGCUUGUGGAACGAGCGGCGGACGGGUGAGUAACACGUGGGCAACCUGCCUGUAAGACUGGGAUAACCCCGGGAAACCGGGGCUAAUACCGGAUAAUACUUUUCAUCACCUGAUGGAAAGUUGAAAGGUGGCUUUUAGCUACCACUUACAGAUGGGCCCGCGGCGCAUUAGCUAGUUGGUGAGGUAACGGCUCACCAAGGCAACGAUGCGUAGCCGACCUGAGAGGGUGAUCGGCCACACUGGGACUGAGACACGGCCCAGACUCCUACGGGAGGCAGCAGUAGGGAAUCUUCCGCAAUGGACGAAAGUCUGACGGAGCAACGCCGCGUGAGUGAUGAAGGUUUUCGGAUCGUAAAGCUCUGUUGUUAGGGAAGAACAAGUGCCGUUCGAAUAGGGCGGCACCUUGACGGUACCUAACCAGAAAGCCCCGGCUAACUACGUGCCAGCAGCCGCGGUAAUACGUAGGGGGCAAGCGUUGUCCGGAAUUAUUGGGCGUAAAGCGCGCGCAGGCGGUCCUUUAAGUCUGAUGUGAAAGCCCACGGCUCAACCGUGGAGGGUCAUUGGAAACUGGAGGACUUGAGUACAGAAGAGGAGAGUGGAAUUCCACGUGUAGCGGUGAAAUGCGUAGAGAUGUGGAGGAACACCAGUGGCGAAGGCGACUCUCUGGUCUGUAACUGACGCUGAGGCGCGAAAGCGUGGGGAGCGAACAGGAUUAGAUACCCUGGUAGUCCACGCCGUAAACGAUGAGUGCUAGGUGUUAGGGGGUUUCCGCCCCUUAGUGCUGAAGUUAACGCAUUAAGCACUCCGCCUGGGGAGUACGGCCGCAAGGCUGAAACUCAAAAGAAUUGACGGGGGCCCGCACAAGCGGUGGAGCAUGUGGUUUAAUUCGACGCAACGCGAAGAACCUUACCAGGUCUUGACAUCCUCUGCAAUCGGUAGAGAUACCGAGUUCCCUUCGGGGACAGAGUGACAGGUGGU